GACGUCUGGGAAACUGCCUGAUGGAGGGGGAUAACUACUGGAAACGGUAGCUAAUACCGCAUAACGUCGCAAGACCAAAGAGGGGGACCUUCGGGCCUCUUGCCAUCGGAUGUGCCCAGAUGGGAUUAGCUAGUAGGUGGGGUAACGGCUCACCUAGGCGACGAUCCCUAGCUGGUCUGAGAGGAUGACCAGCCACACUGGAACUGAGACACGGUCCAGACUCCUACGGGAGGCAGCAUG
RNAcentral lists this ribosomal RNA (240 nucleotides) under uncultured bacterium. RNAcentral's name for it is "partial 16S ribosomal RNA". It matches the Rfam family "Bacterial small subunit ribosomal RNA", at positions 112 to 353 of the family's 1533-position model. The record is from RNAcentral.